CCCACUACAUGAGCUACUAAGCCAAGAUUCCAAGACAUUGUCUGCUUAUCCCAGUAGGCUAGAGUGGGUAAGAUACAGUGUCACUAGUGUACGGGAAAAUCUCAGCACUGAGAGCCAGGAAACCACUUGUUCAAAUAAAGGAUUGAAAAGACUUAAUAAUAGUUCCUGAGAAAAUCCCCUAGGAGUUUCACUUCACUGGAAAGAGCAGAAAUUGGUCACAUCUAUUUUGUGUGCCCCUAGAAUGUUAUUCUUGUGUCUAUAAUAGCACUUAGAACAUUUUGUUAUAUUGUUUAUUUGGGUUUUGUCUCCCAUUUUAGUCUAUUUGCAGUAUAAAAACAGUGAUCACAUUUUGUUCAUCUUUAAGUAUCUACCAUCAAUAUCAGACCUGGCAUAAAGUCUAUGCUCACUACCUAUUUGUCAUAUGAGUGGAGAUAAUGUAUGAAUGUAAGAUUAGUGGUAUGUAUCAGUGGGAUAUAGCUCUUAAAACCAGAAUGAUUUUGAUUUAUGAGUGAAAUGGGUACUUAAGAGGGGUGAAGAGAAAAAAUAUCUCUAUUAAACAAUAUUGAUGAGGUUAACUUCCAAAGAUUAACUUUGUCUGCAUAACAAUUUUGCAAGGGUAAUAUGAUAGUGUGAUCCUCACUUAUAAGGUACUCUGAAGAAAAUAAAUAUUACAGGGAAGGGGAUGUUUCCUGUGUUCAAAAAUGGUCAAUAAUUACUGGAUACUCUGUUACAUGAAGAUUCACAAUGUAUUUUAUUAUGUUAAGGGCUUUGAGGAGUUCUCCUGCAAAUAAACCUAUUUAGCCUUAUUUAUCCUAGUGUUUAACCUGUCUUUGUGGAUUAAUUUGACCACAGGAUCACUUUCGUGUAUGUGAGUUACCUAUUAACCUCCCAAGGAAAGCACUUGGGAACUGUCACGAGACUAGGAAUUCUGAACUGAGCAUCAAGAGCUCUGGGUUCUACUCCUGACUCAUAAUUAGUGACCUCAUGACCUUGGGCACAAAUUCUUGGUUUCCCUAUCUCUAAGAAUGAGUUGUUAGUACUAGAUUGCCUUUCAACUUUAUAACUGUUAUGCUUUAUCAUCCAUGGAAUUGGGAGCUAGCUCCAGGAGUAUUACAGGAAGAAUGGAUGGUCACUGUUGAAGAAGCAGAGAAGUAUACUGGGUGGCUGCCAGAGGAACCAUUUCACCAGCCAGCCACUUUUGUUCUUCCCUGCCCUAUGAAUCCUACUCCCAUACAUAUAUUCUGUUUCCCAAUAGUCCAAAUAACCAGAGAGAAAUGCCAUAGACUCAAUGUCCCCCAUUUAAGGUUAACAUGAAAAUGGUUGAGUUUUAAUGA
Long non-coding RNA from Acinonyx jubatus (cheetah), 1334 nucleotides. RefSeq lists it as uncharacterized. The record is from RefSeq and is a predicted model, not a curated record. The transcript has 2 exons. Lineage: Eukaryota; Metazoa; Chordata; Mammalia; Carnivora; Felidae.